GGGGCUGUAGCUCAGUGGUAGAGUGCCUGCCUUGCAUGUGUGAAACACUGGGUUCAAACCUCAGCACCA
This 69-nucleotide transfer RNA is filed under the name Ictidomys tridecemlineatus (thirteen-lined ground squirrel). Its description in RNAcentral is "Spermophilus tridecemlineatus (thirteen-lined ground squirrel) tRNA". It matches the Rfam family "tRNA". Rfam says of the family: Transfer RNA (tRNA) molecules are approximately 80 nucleotides in length. The record is from Rfam by way of RNAcentral. Lineage: Eukaryota; Metazoa; Chordata; Mammalia; Rodentia; Sciuridae.